UACGAAGGGGGCUAGCGUUGCUCGGAAUCACUGGGCGUAAAGGGUGCGUAGGCGGGUCUUUAAGUCAGGGGUGAAAUCCUGGAGCUCAACUCCAGAACUGCCUUUGAUACUGAGGAUCUUGAGUUCGGGAGAGGUGAGUGGAACUGCGAGUGUAGAGGUGAAAUUCGUAGAUAUUCGCAAGAACACCAGUGGCGAAGGCGGCUCACUGGCCCGAUACUGACGCUGAGGCACGAAAGCGUGGGGAGCAAACA
RNAcentral lists this ribosomal RNA (251 nucleotides) under uncultured bacterium. Its description in RNAcentral is "partial 16S ribosomal RNA". It matches the Rfam family "Bacterial small subunit ribosomal RNA", at positions 524 to 774 of the family's 1533-position model. The record is from RNAcentral.